GCUUGUCUCAAAGAUUAAGCCAUGCAUGUCUUAGUGUAAAUAACUCUUAUGAAACUGCGAAUGGCUCAUUAAAUCAGUUAUCAAAUACGUGAUGGUCGCCUACUACAUGGAUAACCGUAGUAAUUCUAGAGCUAAUACAUGCAUCAACACCCGACUGUUCGCGGAAGGGUAGUAUUUAUUAGGUAUAGACCAACCCUCUUUUGGAGGUGCUUUGGUGAUUCAUAAUAACUCCUCGAAUCGCAUGGCCUUGCGCCGGCGAUGUUUCAUUCAAAUUUCUGCCCUAUCAAUUUGAUGGUAGGAUAGAGGCCUACCAUGGUGGUAACGGGUGACGGAGAAUUAGGGUUCGAUUCCGGAGAGGGAGCCUGAGAAACGGCUACCACAUCCAAGGAAGGCAGCAGG
Molecule: ribosomal RNA, 399 nt
Filed under: uncultured Katablepharidophyta
Lineage: Eukaryota; Cryptophyceae; Kathablepharidacea
Description: partial small subunit ribosomal RNA
Rfam family: Eukaryotic small subunit ribosomal RNA
Source: RNAcentral